AGAGUUUGAUUCUGGCUCAGGACGAACGCUGGCGGCAUGCCUAACACAUGCAAGUCGAACGGAGAUUGAGUUGGAGUUUACUUCGACUUAAUCUUAGUGGCGGACGGGUGAGUAACACGUGGGUAAUCUGCCUAUCACAUUGGGAUAACAGGGUGAAAACGCUGCUAAUACCGAAUAAGCUUACAGAUACGGGAGUGUCAGUGAGAAAAGGAGCAAUCCGGUGAUAGAUGAGCCCGCGGCUGAUUAGCUAGUUGGUGGGGUAAAGGCCUACCAAGGCGACGAUCAGUAGCCGGCCUGAGAGGGUGAACGGCCACACUGGAACUGAGACACGGUCCAGACUCCUACGGGAGGCAGCAGUGGGGAAUCUUCCGCAAUGGGCGAAAGCCUGACGGAGCAAUGCCGCGUGAGUGACGAAGGCCUUCGGGUUGUAAAACUCUGUCUUCAGGGACGAAUAAUGACGGUACCUGAGGAGGAAGUCACGGCUAACUACGUGCCAGCAGCCGCGGUAAUACGUAGGUGACAAGCGUUGUCCGGAAUGACUGGGCGUAAAGGGCGUGUAGGUGGACUAAUCAGUCGGAUGUGAAAUAUCCGGGCUUAACCCGGGGGGUGCAUCCGAUACGGUUAGUCUUGAGUGCAGGAGAGGGCAGUGGAAUUCCCAGUGUAGCGGUGAAAUGCGUAGAGAUUGGGAGGAACACCAGUGGCGAAGGCGGCUGCCUGGACUGUAACUGACACUGAGGCGCGAAAGCGUGGGGAGCAAACAGGAUUAGAUACCCUGGUAGUCCACGCCGUAAACGAUGGGUACUAGGUGUAGGAGGUAUCGACCCCUUCUGUGCCGGAGUUAACACAAUAAGUACCCCGCCUGGGGAGUACGGCCGCAAGGUUGAAACUCAAAUGAAUUGACGG
This 903-nucleotide ribosomal RNA is filed under the name uncultured bacterium. RNAcentral's name for it is "bacterial SSU rRNA". It matches the Rfam family "Bacterial small subunit ribosomal RNA", at positions 8 to 916 of the family's 1533-position model. The record is from RNAcentral.